Molecule: ribosomal RNA, 464 nt
Filed under: Vreelandella stevensii
Lineage: Bacteria; Pseudomonadati; Pseudomonadota; Gammaproteobacteria; Oceanospirillales; Halomonadaceae
Description: partial 16S ribosomal RNA
Rfam family: Bacterial small subunit ribosomal RNA
Source: RNAcentral
CCUACGGGGGGCAGCAGUGGGGAAUAUUGGACAAUGGGGGGAACCCUGAUCCAGCCAUGCCGCGUGUGUGAAGAAGGCCCUCGGGUUGUAAAGCACUUUCAGUGAGGAAGAACGCCUGGUGGUUAAUACCCAUCAGGAAAGACAUCACUCACAGAAGAAGCACCGGCUAACUCCGUGCCAGCAGCCGCGGUAAUACGGAGGGUGCGAGCGUUAAUCGGAAUUACUGGGCGUAAAGCGCGCGUAGGUGGCUUGAUAAGCCGGUUGUGAAAGCCCCGGGCUCAACCUGGGAACGGCAUCCGGAACUGUCAAGCUAGAGUGCAGGAGAGGAAGGUAGAAUUCCCGGUGUAGCGGUGAAAUGCGUAGAGAUCGGGAGGAAUACCAGUGGCGAAGGCGGCCUUCUGGACUGACACUGACACUGAGGUGCGAAAGCGUGGGUAGCAAACAGGAUUAGAUACCCCUGAGUC